ACGGGGGGUGCAAGCGUUGUUCGGAAUUAUUGGGCGUAAAGAGCGUGCAGGCGGCCGAUUAAGUCAGAUGUGAAAUCCCCGGGCUCAACCUAGGAAGUGCAUUGGAAACUAUUCGGCUUGAAUAGGGGAGAGGGUAGUGGAAUUCCUAGUGUAGGGGUGAAAUCCGUAGAUAUCAGGAGGAACACCGGUGGCGAAGGCGGCCAUCUGGACCUAUAUUGACGCUGAGACGCGAGAGCGUGGGGAGCAAACAG
RNAcentral lists this ribosomal RNA (251 nucleotides) under uncultured prokaryote. RNAcentral's name for it is "partial 16S rRNA". It matches the Rfam family "Bacterial small subunit ribosomal RNA", at positions 525 to 775 of the family's 1533-position model. The record is from RNAcentral.